GGCGACCGGCGCACGGGUGAGUAACACGUAUCCAACCUGCCGAUGACUCGGGGAUAGCCUUUCGAAAGAAAGAUUAAUACCCGAUGGCAUAGUUCUUCCGCAUGGUAGAACUAUUAAAGAAUUUCGGUCAUCGAUGGGGAUGCGUUCCAUUAGCUUGUUGGCGGGGUAACGCCCACCAAGGCAUCGAUGGAUAGGGGUUCUGAGAGGAAGGUCCCCCACAUUGGAACUGAGACACGGUCCAAACUCCUACGGAAGGCAGCAG
Molecule: ribosomal RNA, 262 nt
Filed under: uncultured bacterium
Lineage: Bacteria
Description: partial 16S ribosomal RNA
Rfam family: Bacterial small subunit ribosomal RNA
Source: RNAcentral